This is a non-coding RNA of Rhodnius prolixus, 102 nucleotides long. The record is from Rfam. Lineage: Eukaryota; Metazoa; Arthropoda; Insecta; Hemiptera; Reduviidae.
AAAUCAGCCUGACCACCACCAUUAUUACCAGUAACGGUGCGGGCUGGCGCGUAGAAAAGAAUCUGAAAAAGCCCGCACCUAAACAGUGCGGGCUUUUUUUAC